CCCUUAGAUGUUCUGGGCAGCACGCGCGCUACAAUGGUCUUCGCAAACGGAUGCGUUCUCGAAGGAGAAUGCCAAUCUUGGAAUCUAUGCCUUGGUCGGGACAGUUGCUUGCAAUUUUUCGACUCGAACCAGGAAUUCCUUGUAAUCGUGAUUCAUCACAUCACGAUGAAUACGUCCCUGCCCUUUGUACACACCGCCCGUCGCUCCUACCGAUCGAAGAGUUAGGUGAAUUGUUUUGAUCGAUAAGAUUUGACUAUGGUCAACUCUCGUUGUGAAAUUCUGUGAAUCUGACUGUUGAGAGGAAGGAAAAGUCGUAACA
Molecule: ribosomal RNA, 319 nt
Filed under: uncultured eukaryote
Lineage: Eukaryota
Description: partial 18S ribosomal RNA
Rfam family: Eukaryotic small subunit ribosomal RNA
Source: RNAcentral